RNAcentral lists this long non-coding RNA (4028 nucleotides) under Homo sapiens (human). RNAcentral's name for it is "family with sequence similarity 87 member A (FAM87A)". Lineage: Eukaryota; Metazoa; Chordata; Mammalia; Primates; Hominidae. The record is from RNAcentral.
GUUCUUCUUUCUACCUUUCUAAGAUUCCACCAUGUUGCUUGUUUAGUUCAACCAGUGCUGAUAGGGACACGUUUGCACUUGUCUCUCAGUGAACAUUCGCAAGAGAUUUUCUAGGCCUCCAGGCAGAAGCCGCUGCUGACGGGGAGAGUCUGCUGGAGGAAGUCACAUGGCAGAUGCCAGAGGACCAGCCUGGGAGAGGCUUUCUAGCAACCAGGACACCUGCCGCAGUGCCACGCUUUCUCCAGGAAACAAGGACAGCUGCACGGGUGCCCACACGAGAGUCGGCGACCAGCCUCGGCGGUGGGGUUCCUGCAACGCGUGUUCCUGCUGGGGUUCUCCUUUCUGCUGUUCCGAGCUACAGUGCGGAUCAUGCUCCCCAUACGUGGAGUCCAGGGACAGCACAGCCCGGGGACUGCCCAGCCAGCCAGGAAGUCUGGCUUUCAGAGAACUGGGAAGACCAUCUUCCACUUUAUCCCAUCUGGGAGACUGUAAACAUGGAUUCCACUGUCUCGGACAGUGAGACGAUUCCCAGUCUUUUCCUGUUCCUCCUCUAGGUAUGUAGCUGCUAUCAGCUUCCAGAAACGCUGGAAGGAAGGGCGUUGCUUUGGCAGGACACGUGGGGAGAUGGGCUGGGAGGGGAGAUCCCGGAGGUAAGGAGGGGAGGCUUUCCUCUCCCCACACUGGGAACUCAGUUUCUAGCCCCAGGUUCCUGGUUGUGUCCGGCAUCCCAGGAGCAUGAGUGGGAAGCUGCUGCAUCCACCUGCCGUGUGCAGUCGGGGACCAGCUGCAGAGCGCACUAUGCAUCCUUUAGACUCUGCAGGCUCAAGUGAAAACCCAGCUCUGCCACUGCUCUCUGGAUGACCUUGCCACCUCCCUCUCCUCCUUUGAAAAGUGUGGGAAAUGCUGCUUUUCAUCAAGUCCAAGUCACCAUGUAUUGUGGCUUAAACGGCAGUGUUAUUUUCUUUCUCAGUGACACAUAACAUACUGCUGCGUUUUUUAACAGAUGCUGUCUUGGACGCAGUGAAGUCUGCCGAUGGCUGUUUCAGAGCCGUUAGGAUGGUGAAGUGAGACAAUGUGAAUGGAGUGUUUUGUGAGGCUCAGUGCUGCAUAAAUGCUAGCCAUUAUCUAAUAGCAAGAAUUCCUUGAAAUGUUUCUUUCUCUCAAAUUUAUGAAAAGAUUAGAAAAUAGUUCUAAAAAUUAAAAAUGCUUCUGGUCGGAGCGGCUUACAUGAUGGCAGUGAAAGUGUGCAGCUUCAUGGGUCCCACUGCGUGCACUUGGCAUGGAGAGAACGAAAUGUGGAGGCCAGCGAUACCAAGAACACCCCUGUGAGCCGCGCUGGGUGCAGCCCCCACGGCCGGCGGGCAGUGACACCGCAGUUUCCUCUCCUGCCGGCAUCCACGCUUCCUGUGCCCAGGUGCUGGAAGCUCAGUCUUCAUGUCCCCUUCUCAGUUAUGUGUCUGUAGGGCUGGGACAGGGAAGGAAGUCAGUGAAGCUGGUUGGAUCUUCCAAGGGAUGCUCUGUGUGCAAGGCUCGGGGACAAGGAUGGCUGGGGGAGUCAGACUGUCAGUGAAGCUGAGGGGCGGAUGGAGCCUCACCACGCCUGAGUCCCUGUUUUCCAGCUGCAGAUGCUGACCCUCCAGAGCUUUGUUUACCAGCCCCUGUGACUGCGAUCUGGAGUCAGCCAGGCGUUCCUCCUUGUCCGGUAGAUUUUAUUAAGUGCUCAAUGUGUGCCAAGCCAAAUGUCCGUUUGACUUACUGCAUGUCCGAGAAGCGAUGCCGUUGAAGGAAUUUCCUCCCCAAGCCUGAAGGAAUUGAACACCAGGAAUGACUGGAACCCUGGAGAGAGAGAACUGGAUUUCUGGAGGAAAAUCACUCGUUUUAAGGAAGCAGCAUCCUGGACCCUUGAGGCCCUGGAGGAAGCGGGCAGCACAGCUCGGAGGCGGGUGUGGCUGGAGGACGGCCGUCGCACCUGCGAAAUUCUGUCUGUGGUACGUGGUUCCUUCCUGGCUCUGGGAACCACCUGGAUACUUGCAUUCUUCCCUUUUCCUUUCUAUUCUCUUUCAAGUCACCCUCCUUGAGACAGCCCUCCAGUCCAGGCCAAAUCUCAGCCUGCCCUUGGUCCGCUGUGGUUGGGCCUGCACCCAAGCCAUGAGCACACGCAGCAAUUGUGGCAGCAGAAGCUUCCUCUGGGCUCAGACUCAGGCUGAUGCUGCGUCAGGACCUGCCGCGGUCUCGGCUGGGCUUCCUGGGACUCGGUGGUUGUGGGCUGAUUGUAAAGCACGGAAUGACUCUUAGAAACUGGGCGUCAUUCUUUGUGGUUUUCCAAGCUUGGUCUCUGAUGAUACUCCAGGUCUUAGGAGACAUGCUGAAUAUUUAUUAUGCUUACAUUCAAGCAACAUUAACCCUUAAGGUUGAUGUAGCUCCCCGUCUUUUUUUCCCAGAAGGAGGAGCACUGAAGGAACACUUUUCCAGUAUGGAUUCUUUCCAGCUCCGAGAAGCUGGAGGCACACGGAUCCCUCGGCCAGCUCUCAUCUAUGGACGUGCUGUAGUCACAAGGACUGUGACUAAGGCUCAGUCCCUGAAGAGUGCCUUGGCAUGGGCUGCUUUAGGCUGUAAACACCCAGUUUUAUCCACUUUAUGUGAAGAAAGCCAACAAGGGGCAUGGAGUGAGUUCCGCAGGUUUUAGUGGCUGCGGAGGCUGGUGCUCAGUGGGGAUGAUGGAGGGAAGGCGCCUCCCUCUGCGGGCCCCGAGGUCUGUGCGGGAAUCAGCUCUGCAGUUGUGUCCAGGGGCAGCCGUAGACCACACACGGCAGGCUCACAGCUCUGUUCCAUGAGAACUUUAUACACAAAAGCAGACGGGCUGGCUUGGCCUCUGGAUCAUAAUCUGCUGACCCCUGGGGCAACGUUGGCUGCAGCGGAGAUGGCUGCUCCCCGGUGGGGUGUGUGCUCAGCCCGCAGCCCCCGCCCUCCGGACUCCGUUCGCCUCUGCUCUCAGCUUUGCACCUCGUCAUUGUCUUCUAAUUGUGCAUCCCUGGACUGCGUGACCUACAAGGCUCUCAGCACAACAAGACUCUAUGAUUCUGUCUAUUGGAACAAAAAGCCAGUGAGGCAAGUGUAUCAUCCUGUUGAUGAAUUCACAGAAUUAACUCUGGGAGUUGGGGACAGUUUGUAUUCUUCUUCCAGACACUCUCUGUUUCUGCUGGAUGGAAAGGUUCUGCUACUUGUCCUGUGGUCAGGCCCAGCUGAUGGAAUGGAAUGGAAGUGACUCAGCCCCUUACUGGCAGAAACUUUAAAAGCCGCACAACAUUCCUGCACCCUCCCCUCUGCCAUGAGCCUGGCAGUGCUCAGGAUGGGAAAAUUAUUUCACCUGGGCCUGAGGAUACAGGAGCUACUCCCAGCGUGCAGUGGAAGAGAAGCAUGGGCAAGUAAUUAAACUUUGUGUUUUCAAGCCACAGAGGUUUUUUGAGGUUGUUUGCUACCAUGCUUUGUCCCUACAAACACAGUCAUGGAGAAGGCCAGUGGCAGAGCCUGAGCCGUUCGUGCAUCUGUUCACCAGCAUCCAGAAUAACAAUAGAUUUUUGAAACAUUCCUGAGAAAAUUCUGGGAGUUGCAUACCGGCCAGUCUUAUUCCCUAAAGUUGUUCCUUCUAAAGGGUGGGAUGACCAAAAAUUUCAGAAAAGCAAACCACCGCUGAAAGGCAACGUUAUUUCUGUUGGCAGAAGGCGGCCUGAGCAAUCUAGAUUUUCCACGGUUCACCAACUAGUUUUUAAGGAAAUAUGGCUGUGAGAGGAAUAAAACAUAAUUCCUACCUUUAAGGAACUCAGAGAAGUGAAUUAAAGGAAGUCACAGAUCAGGCAACCAACCACACAAAGUUUCUAAGAGCAAACUGUUCAGGUCGGCAAGUCACUCUUAUCCACUGUUUUGCCUUCUGAGGUUUCAGUUACUCUCAGUCAGUCAUGGUCCAAAAACAUUAAAUGAAAAAUUCCAGAAAUAAACAAUUCACACGUUUUAAAAAAAAAAAAAAAAAA